This 67-nucleotide transfer RNA is filed under the name Carabus hortensis. RNAcentral describes it as "tRNA-Cys". The record is from RNAcentral. Lineage: Eukaryota; Metazoa; Arthropoda; Insecta; Coleoptera; Carabidae.
GGCUCUAUGGUUUAUAAUUAUAAAAUGUUAAAUUGCAAAUUUAAAGAAAGAAUUUUUCUUAGAGCUU